GACGAACGCUGGCGGCGUGCUUAAUACAUGCAAGUCGAGCGAGGUUACUGUUUUGGAUCCCUUCGGGGUGAAGAAGCUUUAACCUAGCGGCGGACGGGUGAGUAACGCGUGGGUAACCUACCCCAAAGUCCGGGAUAACAGCGGGAAACCGCUGCUAAUACCGGAUGCCUUUACCUUGGGGCAUCUUGAGGUAAAGAAAGGUAACGCUUUGGGAUGGGCCCGCGUCCCAUUAGCUAGUUGGUGAGGUAACGGCUCACCAAGGCGACGAUGGGUAGCCGGCCUGAGAGGGUGGACGGCCACACUGGGACUGAGACACGGCCCAGACUCCUACGGGAGGCAGCAGUAGGGAAUAUUGCGCAAUGGACGGAAGUCUGACGCAGCGACGCCGCGUGAGCGAUGAAGGUCUUCGGAUCGUAAAGCUCUGUCCUUGGGGAAGAAGGCGAAAGCUUGACGGUACCCAAGAAGAAAGCCCCGGCUAACUACGUGCCAGCAGCCGCGGUAAUACAUAGGGGGCGAGCGUUGUCCGGAAUUACUGGGCGUAAAGGGUGCGUAGGCGGCCCUUUAAGUCGGAUGUGAAAGCCCGCGGCUUAACCGCGGAAUGGCAUUCGAAACUGGAGGGCUUGAGUGUCGGAGAGGGUAGUGGAAUUCCCAGUGUAGCGGUGAAAUGCGUAGAUUUUGGGAGGAACACCAGUGGCGAAGGCGACUACCUGGACGAUAACUGACGCUGAGGCACGAAAGCUAGGGGAGCAAACAGG
This 755-nucleotide ribosomal RNA is filed under the name uncultured bacterium. RNAcentral describes it as "bacterial SSU rRNA". It matches the Rfam family "Bacterial small subunit ribosomal RNA", at positions 28 to 776 of the family's 1533-position model. The record is from RNAcentral.